UAGUCGGAGGUGUGUCUCGGACGGUCGGUUCGCCGCUUGCCGGUGUUCAACUGGCCGGUCCGGACGUCCUGCCGGUGGGGCCGCGAGGCCCCGUUAUCCUUCUUUGGUCCUCUUCACCGAGUGCCUUGGUGGGCCGGCACGUUUACUUUGAACAAAUUAGAGUGCUCAAAGCAGGCCGUUGGUCGCCUGAAUACUGUGUGCAUGGAAUAAUGGAAUAGGACCUCGGUUCCAUUUUGUUGGUUUUCAGAACUCGAGGUAAUGAUUAAUAGGGACGGACGGGGGCAUUCGUAUUGCGACGUUAGAGGUGAAAUUCUUGGAUCGUCGCAAGACGAACCGAUGCGAAAGCAUUUGCCAAGAACGUUUUCGUUGAUCAAGAACGAAAGUUAGAGGUUCGAAGGCGAUCAGAUACCGCCCUAGUUCUAACCAUAAACGAUGCCAGCUAGCCAUCCGCCGAAGUUCCUACUAUGACUCGGCGGGCAGCUUCCGGGAAACCAAAGCUCUUGGGUUCCGGGGGAAGUAU
This 520-nucleotide ribosomal RNA is filed under the name Disparocypha biedermanni. Its description in RNAcentral is "SSU rRNA". It matches the Rfam family "Eukaryotic small subunit ribosomal RNA", at positions 631 to 1126 of the family's 1831-position model. Lineage: Eukaryota; Metazoa; Arthropoda; Insecta; Odonata; Chlorocyphidae. The record is from RNAcentral.